GACGAACGCUGGCGGCGUGCUUAACACAUGCAAGUCGGGGGGCCCUUUCGGGGGUCACCGGCGGACGGGUGCGUAACACGUGAGCGACCUGCCCUGGAGUGGGGGAUAGCCGGCCCAACGGCCGGGUAAUACCGCAUACGCCACCGGAGAGGCAUCUCUCGGGUGGGAAACCCGCAAGGGGCUCGUGGAGGGGCUCGCGGCCUAUCAGCUAGUUGGCGAGGUAACGGCUCACCAAGGCGAUGACGGGGUAGCNGGUCUGAGAGGAUGGCCAGCCACAUU
This 279-nucleotide ribosomal RNA is filed under the name uncultured bacterium. RNAcentral's name for it is "partial 16S ribosomal RNA". It matches the Rfam family "Bacterial small subunit ribosomal RNA", at positions 28 to 314 of the family's 1533-position model. The record is from RNAcentral.